Molecule: ribosomal RNA, 468 nt
Filed under: uncultured bacterium
Lineage: Bacteria
Description: partial 16S ribosomal RNA
Rfam family: Bacterial small subunit ribosomal RNA
Source: RNAcentral
GACGAACGCUGGCGGCGUGCUUAACACAUGCAAGUCGAACGGAAAGGCCCUGCUUUUGUGGGGUGCUCGAGUGGCGAACGGGUGAGUAACACGUGAGUAACCUGCCCUUGACUUUGGGAUAACUUCAGGAAACUGGGGCUAAUACCGGAUAGGAGCUCCUGCUGCAUGGUGGGGGUUGGAAAGUUUCGGCGGUUGGGGAUGGACUCGCGGCUUAUCAGCUUGUUGGCGGGGUAGUGGCUUACCAAGGCUUUGACGGGUAGCCGGCCUGAGAGGGUGACCGGCCACAUUGGGACCGAGAUACGGCCCAGACUCCUACGGGAGGCAGCAGUGGGGAAUAUUGCACAAUGGGCGGAAGCCUGAUGCAGCAACGCCGCGUGCGGGAUGACGGCCUUCGGGUUGUAAACCGCUUUCGCCUGUGACGAAGCGUGAGUGACGGUAAUGGGUAAAGAAGCACCGGCUAACUACGUG